UUGAGAGUUUGAUCCUGGCUCAGAACGAACGCUGGCGGCAGGCCUAACACAUGCAAGUCGAGCGCACUCUUCGGAGUGAGCGGCGGACGGGUUAGUAACGCGUGGGAAUGUACCCUUUUCUACGGAAUAGUCUCGGGAAACUGGGGUUAAUACCGUAUACGCCCUUCGGGGGAAAGAUUUAUCGGAGAAGGAUCGGCCCGCGUUAGAUUAGAUAGUUGGUGGGGUAAUGGCCUACCAAGUCUACGAUCUAUAGUUGAUUUGAGA
RNAcentral lists this ribosomal RNA (264 nucleotides) under Heterosigma akashiwo. Its description in RNAcentral is "partial Bacterial small subunit ribosomal RNA". It matches the Rfam family "Bacterial small subunit ribosomal RNA", at positions 1 to 297 of the family's 1533-position model. The record is from RNAcentral. Lineage: Eukaryota; Raphidophyceae; Chattonellales; Chattonellaceae.